AGUCUUUAGUGCACUUCUCCAAAACGCGAAUUCCAUGUGUCGUUGGUGGCUGUAGGUGGACCAAUGCAGAGAAACAACUAUGUUUCUACACAACAUACAUUUGUAACAAGUGGAUGACCCCUCGUUCCCAAUGAAUGAUUACGUCUGAGGAAGUCGCCGUGCAUUAUUCCCGACUGUUUCCCAGAAAGAAUGAAGAAAUGGUGGAAUUUUUUGGUAAGUCACAGCCUCCUGUGCUUUCCCUAUGAGUGUGGAGGCGGGGCACUUCAGUCCAAGACUCGUCCACCGAAAAUAACCUGCAUGAGGGAGGGAAGAGACUUCCAGAGAAAAGUGAGAGAGAGUAGAGGGAGGAGGAAAGGAUAGUGCCCGAAAAAGCGGGGAGGGAGAGAAGAAGAAGAAGAACGGAGUGCCUGCGCUGCGAUGGAAUAAAAACUGCGCAAUUUUAAAUCCUAUCUCCGCUGCUCUUCCAGCGCUGGCCAGCGGCUGCAGCGCAGCCACACGCCACCCGAUGUCUCCUGGACAUGCGAACACGUUUCGUCCAGCUUGCGUGGAUUUCCUCGUCCUUUACCACUGGCUGUUCGUUUAGACAACAAUUGUGUGACAAUUUCUUUGAUAGUCUUUGAGCUACAUGGCAAACGUUUUGGAGAAGAAUUGGCAGAGACAAGCCUCUGUGACGGCCACAUCUUUGCUUCGGUUUCAUAACGUAUCUGCGUGUGUAGAAGUGCAUCCUCACGCCGUCAUUUCAAACAUGCGUAUCGAUUCGGAAUGCAUAAUUAAACCUUCUUACAUGACCACGCUCGUGCUGCGUGACUCUCCAGGCGUCCAUUCUGGUGGGAAGAGGAGAAUGCCUACCAUAAUCGUCUUUUGGGAUGUAUCACUGGACAAUUUAACGUUAUGGAGAAGGGGCACGGCACCUCCCAGUCACACUCUGCUUUUGGCAGCAGAGAAAUGCAACCAAACAUGAAUGCUGAUGAACUGGCUGGGCAGCCACAGCACAAGGUCAGAGAGUUUGUCCAUGGAUCACGGCCACCAAUCAUGGAGUCUCUCGAGCAACUGAGUGGCAGACCAAAUGGCCAAUCAGCUUUCGGAGAGGAGUCCUCCCUCCCUCUGCUGUGUUUGUCUCUCUGUCUCCCCCGGUCCACCGGGCUGCUCCCUGCCCCUCCCCAGGCAGAGACCACCAUGCUGGGCAGGACCACAGCUCACCCCAAACCACAUGAUGUGAAGACAAGUAGUCUAUAUUCAAGCAUUGACUUCCAGCCAAAACAGCAAAGGACUUCUGAACUAUAGAACCAAUCUGUUACUUAUCUGGCACCAAGUCUGGACCAGAACUGUACCAGGACCAGUUGCCAUACCAGAUGUCUUUUUUUUUUUGCCCGAUUCAGUUAACCGUUCCUCACGGUCCUCUAGCUGUCCGUUCAGUGUCUACGGUCAGAACAAACUCCUGUGUCCAUACACAGUCCUGGCUCUGUAGAUGGGACACCUAGUGGCUCUGACCAAGUCAAACAAUCCCAGCCAAUCAAUACACGUGCUUAGGGAGGGGUGUUAUUUGAUUGGCUGCUGAAAUGGAAACGCAGACUGCAUCUUUAAUGACAUUCCAUGUUUUACACACCCGACGGACCAAACCCUUGAUGGUGAAACAUGCACAUUUCUAAUAAAAAUCCUCUGAUCCACAUCCGUGUGUGUGUGUGUGUGUGUGUGUGUGUGUUUGUGUGUGUGUGUGUGUCUGUGUAUGACAAUGUAAGCAGCUAAUCACCUGUUCAGUGCAGCUGUUCACAUGCACUUCCAUUCAGUCAGUAAUGGCUGCCUCCUAAGCAGAUUCCAGUGGAGGUUAGACAGGAACAGGUCAGUGGGCAUCAGUGAAGCCACCCCAGCGGAGGCAACUAGGAGUGACUGUGGGCACCUGGCGGCUCGGGUGUAGUCUGUCCUCUGACCUCUCCUAACCUCAGUUCUCUAAGCUUCACCUCUGACCCUGUCCGUUCCCAUGCACUAAUUUGGCAGACACUUCUAUCCACAGUCUGACCUCCAAGCGAGGCUCUGUAGAAACGCAACAACAAGUGCGUCAAGGAGAAGCUCCAACCCUCUGGCAGCUCCAUCCUGCCCAGACACCCCCUCACCCCCCCCAGAUCCUCCCCGGCACCGGCCCGGGUCGCCUGCCGUAUUCAGGCAGGAGCAGGUCAGCUGAGGGCCAGGCCAGGGGGUCCUGCCAAGGCGCCUAUCCAUCACGUCCAGCCCCGCGGUCAGGGAGCGGUCUGAUGGAGAGGUUAGUUUGUCAGGGAGUUUAAGGCCACUUAUUACGUCAGUAACGAGAUGGGGUUUAAUUAGGGGAGCGGGGAGUUCCACUGAUAGGCUGCAAACCUCAGGGAAAAGGAUGUUGGCGG
This is a long non-coding RNA of Clupea harengus (Atlantic herring), 2375 nucleotides long. NCBI's taxonomy places the organism in Eukaryota, Metazoa, Chordata, Actinopteri, Clupeiformes, Clupeidae. The record is from Ensembl.